Molecule: long non-coding RNA, 420 nt
Organism: Mastomys coucha (southern multimammate mouse)
Lineage: Eukaryota; Metazoa; Chordata; Mammalia; Rodentia; Muridae
Exons: 3
Source: RefSeq, a predicted model, not a curated record
AGCUUUGUGAGUAAUCUUCCCCACAGGCGGCAAGGAAGGUUCUGUGGACCAGACCCGUCAGAGAAGACAGUUCGCCUGGCCAGGUUUUAGGGAGAAGGAAAGAAGAAUCGAGGUUCCUGAAAGAGACCGUGAUCACCUCUUCCUGGAACACUGCUGCUCCUCGGGCAUCACAGCUACACUCCAUUCCGCCAGACACUAACAGAAGAAUCCAAGGAAAUGCUGAGUAAGCAGGAAGCAGUUGACUUGCCGAAGGUCACCAACACCAAAUGGAACAGGUGGAAGUCAAACCAAACCUUGUUCUGCUGUCUGUGACUCCCAACCUCCAGUUCCACCUCUUUCCUCCAUGUGAUCCUCUCUUAGCGAAUUGUCCAAAGGUACCAGUCCUGGGGAACAGAGUGGCGUCCAGGGGAAAGACUAAGA